Molecule: long non-coding RNA, 503 nt
Filed under: Salvator merianae (Argentine black and white tegu)
Lineage: Eukaryota; Metazoa; Chordata; Lepidosauria; Squamata; Teiidae
Description: lncRNA (ENSSMRG00000022358.1)
Source: RNAcentral
CACCAUUCCACUCAGAGGGCAUGUGGAACAGUGUUUUGCACAUCUCUAAGCCUGUCCUUAGGAGGAAGAGAGAAAGACAAAGAGAAUAUAUAAAUUGUUUGAUUGUUUUUUCAAGAGAGAUCAUUUUAACCAUCCCAUAUGUGUCUUAACUGGAGUAGAAGAGUUACUGUGCUCUGUUCCAUCACCUUAAGAUUCUAGGUCAUCUUCAGUGCCUCCUUCAUGCUGCAAUCACUUGCAGGAAUUCUGUAUUCCAUUUACUGUCUUAAAGGUCAGAAAACAUUUUUCCCUUAAUUGCAAUGGCAGCACGCCAGCCUCCCCAACCUACUUGGAUAUUAUUAAGGAAAGCCAAAAGUCUGCACAAGAAAAACACAGUAAUUUUCUGGAUUUUGAGCAUCGCUAUGGUGUAGAGNUGAGCCGUCUCGAAGAACAAAGGCAUAAAGUUACCAGGAUGUACAAAAGGUUUGCUUUUAUUUUCGUUUGUUAAAACAGAAGGUUAAAUGUCU